GACGAACGCUGGCGGCGUGCUUAACACAUGCAAGUCGAACGGAAAGGCCCUGCUUUUGUGGGGUGCUCGAGUGGCGAACGGGUGAGUAACACGUGAGUAACCUGCCCUUGACUUUGGGAUAACUUCAGGAAACUGGGGCUAAUACCGGAUAGGAGCUCCUGCUGCAUGGUGGGGGUUGGAAAGUUUCGGCGGUUGGGGAUGGACUCGCGGCUUAUCAGCUUGUUGGUGGGGUAGUGGCUUACCAAGGCUUUGACGGGUAGCCGGCCUGAGAGGGUGACCGGCCACAGUGGGACUGAGAUAGGGCCCAGACUCCUACGGGAGGCAGCAGUGGGGAAUAUUGCACAAUGGGCGGAAGCCUGAUGCAGCAACGCCGCGUGCGGGAUGACGGCCUUCGGGUUGUAAACCGCUUUCGCCUGGGACGAAGCGUGAGUGACGGUAAUGGGUAAAGAAGCACCGGCUAACUACGUG
RNAcentral lists this ribosomal RNA (468 nucleotides) under uncultured bacterium. Its description in RNAcentral is "partial 16S ribosomal RNA". It matches the Rfam family "Bacterial small subunit ribosomal RNA", at positions 28 to 507 of the family's 1533-position model. The record is from RNAcentral.